GAUGAACGCUAGCGGCAGGCUUAAUACAUGCAAGUCGAGGGGCAGCAUGACUGUAGCAAUACAGUUGAUGGCGACCGGCAAACGGGUGCGGAACACGUACAGAACCUUCCUUCGAGCGGGGAAUAGCCCAGAGAAAUUUGGAUUAAUACCCCAUAGCAUAUUGAUGAGGCAUCUCAUUAAUAUUAAAGAUUUAUCACUUGAAGAUGGCUGUGCGGCUGAUUAGGUAGUUGGCGGGGUAACGGCCCACCAAGCCUUCGAUCAGUAACUGGUGUGAGAGCACGACCAGUCACACGGGCACUGAGACACGGGCCGGACUCCUACGGGAGGCAGCAGUAAGGAAUAUUGGUCAAUGGACGAAAGUCUGAACCAGCCAUGCCGCGUGGAGGAUGAAGGUCCUCUGGAUUGUAAACUUCUUUUAUAUGGGACGAAAAAAGGGUUUUCUAACUCGUCUGACGGUACCAUAUGAAUAAGCACCGGCUAACUCCGUGCCAG
Molecule: ribosomal RNA, 492 nt
Filed under: uncultured bacterium
Lineage: Bacteria
Description: bacterial SSU rRNA
Rfam family: Bacterial small subunit ribosomal RNA
Source: RNAcentral